Molecule: ribosomal RNA, 486 nt
Filed under: uncultured bacterium
Lineage: Bacteria
Description: partial 16S ribosomal RNA
Rfam family: Bacterial small subunit ribosomal RNA
Source: RNAcentral
AUUGAACGCUGGCGGCAUGCCUUACACAUGCAAGUCGAACGGCAGCACGGGUGCUUGCCCCUGGUGGCGAGUGGCGAACGGGUGAGUAAUACAUCGGAACAUGUCCUGUAGUGGGGGAUAGCCCGGCGAAAGCCGGAUUAAUACCGCAUACGAUCUACGGAUGAAAGCGGGGGACCUUCGGGCCUCGCGCUAUAGGGUUGGCCGAUGGCUGAUUAGCUAGUUGGUGGGGUAAAGGCCUACCAAGGCGACGAUCAGUAGCUGGUCUGAGAGGACGACCAGCCACACUGGGACUGAGUCACGGCCCAGACUCCUACGGGAGGCAGCAGUGGGGAAUUUUGGACAAUGGGCGAAAGCCUGAUCCAGCAAUGCCGCGUGUGUGAAGAAGGCCUUCGGGUUGUAAAGCACUUUUGUCCGGAAAGAAAUCCUUGGCCCUAAUACGGUCGGGGGAUGACGGUACCGGAAGAAUAAGCACCGGCUAACUACGUG